UUUGUUCCCUAAAUAGGGACUUGUAUGAAUGGCCACACCAGGGCUUUACUGUCUCUUACUUCCAAUCCGUGAAAUUGACCUUCCCGUGAAGAGGCGGGAAUAUAACAAUAAGACGAGAAGACCCUAUGGAGCUUUAAUUAACCGACCCAAAGAGACCCUAUUAACUUAACCGACAGGAACAACAAACCUCUAUUAUGGGCCGACAAUUUAGGUUGGGGUGACCUCGGAGAACAAAACAACCUCCGAGUGAUUUAAAUUAAGACUGACCAGUCAAAAGUAUUACAUCACUUAUUGAUCCAAAAACUUGAGCAACGGAACAAGUUACCCUAGGGAUAACAGCGCAGUCCUAUUUCAGAGUCCAUAUCGACAAUAGGG
Molecule: ribosomal RNA, 375 nt
Filed under: Catopuma badia (bay cat)
Lineage: Eukaryota; Metazoa; Chordata; Mammalia; Carnivora; Felidae
Description: partial 16S ribosomal RNA
Rfam family: Bacterial large subunit ribosomal RNA
Source: RNAcentral